RNAcentral lists this ribosomal RNA (912 nucleotides) under uncultured Candidatus Poseidoniales archaeon. RNAcentral describes it as "SSU rRNA". It matches the Rfam family "Archaeal small subunit ribosomal RNA", at positions 1 to 918 of the family's 1478-position model. Lineage: Archaea; Methanobacteriati; Thermoplasmatota; Candidatus Poseidoniia; Candidatus Poseidoniales. The record is from RNAcentral.
UUCCGGUUGAUCCUGCCGGAGGCUACCGCUAUUGGAGUUCGAUUAAGCCAUGCGAGUCGAGAGUCUUAGGGACUCGGCGCACCGCUCAGUAACACGUGGGUAACCUGCCCUAUGCUGGGGAAUAACCUCGGGAAACUGAGAAUAAUGCCCCAUAGCCCACUACGCCUGGAACGGUGAGUGGGUCAAAGCUCCGGCGGCAUAGGAUGGGCCUGCGCCGUAUCAGGUUGUAGGGGGUGUAAAGUACCCUCUAGCCAUCAACGCGUACGGGUGUUGGGAGACAUUGCCCGGAGGUGGAUUCUGAGACACGAAUCCAGACCCUACGGGGUGCAGCAGGCGCGAAAACUUGGCAAUGCGAGCAAUCGUGACCAGGGAACUCCAAGUGCGUAGGGUAAGACCUACGCUUUUCUUGAUUCUUCAAAGGUCUUGGAAUAAGGGGGUGGGUAAGGACGGUGCCAGCCGCCGCGGUAAUACCGGCGCCUCAAGUGGUAGUCGCUUUUAUUGGGCCUAAAACGUCCGUAGCCGGUCUGGUGCAUUCGUGGGUAAAUCAACCCGCUCAACGGGUUGAAUUCUGCGAGCACGGCCAGACUUGGGACCGGGAGAGGUGUGGGGUACUCUCAGGGUAGGGGUAAAAUCCUGUCAUCCUGAGAGGACCACCUGUUGCGAAGGCGCCACACUAGAACGGAUCCGACGGUCAGGGACGAAACCUAGGGGCACGAACCGGAUUAGAUACCCGGGUAGUCCUAGGUGUAAACGCUGUGGACUUGAUGUUGGGGGUGCUCCGAGCACUCUCAGUGUCGAAGCGAAGGUGAUAAGUCCACUGCCUGGGGAGUACGGUCGCAAGGCUGAAACUUAAAGGAAUUGGCGGGGGAGCACUGCAACCUGAGGAUUGUACGGUUUAAUUGGACUCAACGC